RNAcentral lists this ribosomal RNA (467 nucleotides) under Alicyclobacillus acidocaldarius. Its description in RNAcentral is "bacterial SSU rRNA". It matches the Rfam family "Bacterial small subunit ribosomal RNA", at positions 19 to 481 of the family's 1533-position model. The record is from RNAcentral. Lineage: Bacteria; Bacillati; Bacillota; Bacilli; Caryophanales; Alicyclobacillaceae.
CUGGCUCAGGACGAACGCUGGCGGCGUGCCUAAUACAUGCAAGUCGAGCGGACCUCUUCGGAGGUCAGCGGCGGACGGGUGAGGAACACGUGGGUAAUCUGCCUUUCAGACCGGAAUAACGCCCGGAAACGGGCGCUAAUGCCGGAUACGCCCGCGAGGAGGCAUCUUCUUGCGGGGAAAGGCCCAAAUGGGCCGCUGAGAGAGGAGCCCGCGGCGCAUUAGCUGGUUGGCGGGGUAACGGCCCACCAAGGCGACGAUGCGUAGCCGACCUGAGAGGGUGACCGGCCACACUGGGACUGAGACACGGCCCAGACUCCUACGGGAGGCAGCAGUAGGGAAUCUUCCGCAAUGGGCGCAAGCCUGACGGAGCAACGCCGCGUGAGCGAAGAAGGCCUUCGGGUUGUAAAGCUCUGUUGCUCGGGGAGAGCGGCAUGGGGAGUGGAAAGCCCCAUGCGAGACGGUACCGA